Molecule: long non-coding RNA, 526 nt
Organism: Panonychus citri (citrus red mite)
Lineage: Eukaryota; Metazoa; Arthropoda; Arachnida; Trombidiformes; Tetranychidae
Exons: 3
Source: RefSeq, a predicted model, not a curated record
UCGGUUUGAAAUUCAAAAUUUGAAUUUCAAAUUUUUAAUUUUCUUCUUUUAAUUGAUUAAUUAAUUAAUUGGUUUCUUUUUUAGUUGAUUAAUUUGAUUGUUAAUCUCUUCGUUUGGUGAAUUUAAUUCUAUCUGGAUCUUAGCUUUGUUCUAAUUGGAACAAUUAUCAUUGAAAAUGGAUUUUUUUUUCUUCUGAAUUUGUCUAUGUGUUUGUCUCGCUCACCCAUUUGGUUUUAUUCAUCGAUGUUCCUGUUUCCAUGUUAUUCAGAGUAACGGAUUGAUGAUUCUAAAUACAAUUACCAAGAAGAAAACAAUAUGCUCGAUGGUUUAUGUAAACUAUUGAUGCCCUUAAGCCUUAUUCACGGGAAUGAUUGAGUAUUUAUGGUUUUGAUAACAAGAGUCAAGAUUAUCAAACAUGAGCCAUGAAAAUGACCUGAAUGUGAAUCAUCAAUAUCGAGAAAAUUGAAUGAAUAUUAAAGUCACCAAAUCAACAAUCAAAUCUAUUGGAUGGUGGAUAAUAUUAAAU